CCUACGGGAGGCAGCAGUGGGGAAUAUUGGGCAAUGGACGAAAGCCUGACCCAGCAACGCCGCGUGAAGGAAGAAGGUUUUCGGGUUGUAAACUUCUUUUCUAAGGGACGAAGCAAGUGACGGUACCUUAGGAAUAAGCCACGGCUAACUACGUGCCAGCAGCCGCGGUAAUACGUAGGUGGCAAGCGUUAUCCGGAUUUACUGGGGGUAAAGGGCGCGUAGGCGGGUAAGCAAGUCAGAUGUGAAAACCCAGGGCUCAACCUGUGGACUGCAGUUAAAACUGUUGGUCUUGAGUGCUGGAGAGGCAGACGGAAUUCCUAGUGUAGCGGUGGAAUGCGUAGAUAUUAGGAGGAACACCAGUGGCGAAGGCGGUUUGCUGGACAGCAACUGACGCUGAGGCGCGAAAGCGUGGGGAGCAAACAGGAUUAGAUACCCGGGUAGUC
This 443-nucleotide ribosomal RNA is filed under the name uncultured bacterium. RNAcentral's name for it is "partial 16S ribosomal RNA". It matches the Rfam family "Bacterial small subunit ribosomal RNA", at positions 338 to 795 of the family's 1533-position model. The record is from RNAcentral.